ACAACGACUCUCGGCAACGGAUAUCUUGGCUCUCGCAUCGAUGAAGAACGUAGCGAAAUGCGAUACUUGGUGUGAAUUGCAGAAUCCCGUGAACCAUCGAGUCUUUGAACGCAAGUUGCGCCCGAAGCCAUUAGGCCAAAGGCACGUCUGCCUGGGCGUCACGC
Molecule: ribosomal RNA, 164 nt
Filed under: Symphytum x uplandicum (Russian comfrey)
Lineage: Eukaryota; Viridiplantae; Streptophyta; Magnoliopsida; Boraginales; Boraginaceae
Description: 5.8S ribosomal RNA
Rfam family: 5.8S ribosomal RNA
About the family: 5.8S ribosomal RNA (5.8S rRNA) is a component of the large subunit of the eukaryotic ribosome. It is transcribed by RNA polymerase I as part of the 45S precursor that also contains 18S and 28S rRNA.
Source: RNAcentral